CCUACGGGAGGCAGCAGUAGGGAAUCUUCCGCAAUGGACGAAAGUCUGACGGAGCAACGCCGCGUGAGCGAUGAAGGCCUUCGGGUCGUAAAGCUCUGUUGUCAGGGAAGAACAAGUACCGGAGUAACUGCCGGUACCUUGACGGUACCUAACCAGAAAGCCACGGCUAACUACGUGCCAGCAGCCGCGGUAAUACGUAGGUGGCAAGCGUUGUCCGGAAUUAUUGGGCGUAAAGCGCGCGCAGGCGGUCCUUUAAGUCUGAUGUGAAAGCCCACGGCUCAACCGUGGAGGGUCAUUGGAAACUGGGGGACUUGAGUGCAGAAGAGGAAAGCGGAAUUCCACGUGUAGCGGUGAAAUGCGUAGAGAUGUGGAGGAACACCAGUGGCGAAGGCGGCUUUCUGGUCUGUAACUGACGCUGAGGCGCGAAAGCGUGGGGAGCAAACAGGAUUAGAUACCCUGGUAGUCCACGCCGUAAACGAUGAGUGCUAAGUGUUAGAGGGUUUCCGCCCUUUAGUGCUGCAGCAAACGCAUUAAGCACUCCGCCUGGGGAGUACGGCCGCAAGGCUGAAACUCAAAGGAAUUGACGG
Molecule: ribosomal RNA, 587 nt
Filed under: uncultured bacterium
Lineage: Bacteria
Description: bacterial SSU rRNA
Rfam family: Bacterial small subunit ribosomal RNA
Source: RNAcentral